This 253-nucleotide ribosomal RNA is filed under the name uncultured bacterium. Its description in RNAcentral is "partial 16S ribosomal RNA". It matches the Rfam family "Bacterial small subunit ribosomal RNA", at positions 524 to 776 of the family's 1533-position model. The record is from RNAcentral.
GACGUAGGGUGCAAGCGUUGUCCGGAAUUAUUGGGCGUAAAGAGUUCGUAGGCGGUUACUUAAGUCUGGUGUUAAAGCCCGAUGCUCAACAUCGGCAUGGCAUUGGAAACUGGGUAGCUAGAGUGUGUCAGAGGUUACGGGAAUUCCUGGUGUAGCGGUGAAAUGCGUAGAUAUCAGGAGGAACACCUGUGGCGAAAGCGCGUAACUGGGGCAUAACUGACGCUGAGGAACGAAAGCCAGGGUAUCCAAAGGG